Molecule: ribosomal RNA, 782 nt
Filed under: uncultured bacterium
Lineage: Bacteria
Description: bacterial SSU rRNA
Rfam family: Bacterial small subunit ribosomal RNA
Source: RNAcentral
AGANUAGAUACCCUGGUAGUCCNCCCCCNUAAACGAUGGAUACUCGACAUACGCGAUACACUGUGUGUNUUUGAGCGAAAAGCAUUAAGUAUCCCGCCUGGGAAGUACGAUCGCAAGAUUGAAACUCAAAGGAAUUGGCGGGGGUCCGCACAAGCNGUGGAGCAUGUGGUUUAAUUCGAUGAUACGCGAGGAACCUUACCUGGGCUAGAAUGCUGGGAGACCGUGGGUGAAAGCUCACUUUGUAGCAAUACACUGCCAGUAAGGUGCUGCAUGGCUGUCGUCAGCUCGUGCCGUGAGGUGUUGGGUUAAGUCCCGCAACGAGCGCAACCCCCAUCACUAGUUGCCAUCAGGUAACGCUGGGAACUCUAGUGAAACUGCCGUCGUAAGACGUGAGGAAGGAGGGGAUGAUGUCAAGUCAUCAUGGCCUUUAUGCCCAGGGCUACACACGUGCUACAAUGGGGCGUACAAAGGGCUGCAACACAGCGAUGUGAAGCUAAUCCCAAAAAACGCCUCUCAGUUCAGAUUGGAGUCUGCAACUCGACUCCAUGAAGCUGGAAUCGCUAGUAAUCGUAUAUCAGCAAUGAUACGGUGAAUACGUUCCCGGACCUUGCACACACCGCCCGUCAAGCCAUGGAAGCCGGGUGUACCUAAAGUCGGUAACCGUAAGGAGCCGCCUAGGGUAAAACUGGUGACUGGGGCUAAGUCGUAAUCAAGGUAUCCAAGCAGAAUUCCAGCACACNGGCUNCCGUUANUANNNGNUNAAAACGACGGCCANGAUUCUG